CCUACGGGUGGCAGCAGUGGGGAAUAUUGGACAAUGGGCGAAAGCCUGAUCCAGCCAUGCCGCGUGUGUGAAGAAGGCCUUCGGGUUGUAAAGCACUUUCAGUGGGGAAGAAAGCCUUGGGGCUAAUACCCUCGAGGAAGGACAUCACCCACAGAAGAAGCACCGGAUAACUCCGUGCCAGCAGCCGCGGUAAUACGGAGGGUGCGAGCGUUAAUCGGAAUUACUGGGCGUAAAGCGCGCGUAGGCGGUCUGAUAAGCCGGUUGUGAAAGCCCCGGGCUCAACCUGGGAACGGCAUCCGGAACUGUCAGGCUAGAGUGCAGGAGAGGAAGGUAGAAUUCCCGGUGUAGCGGUGAAAUGCGUAGAGAUCGGGAGGAAUACCAGUGGCGAAGGCGGCCUUCUGGACUGACACUGACGCUGAGGUGCGAAAGCGUGGGUAGCAAACAGGAUUAGAUACCCUGGUAGUC
RNAcentral lists this ribosomal RNA (465 nucleotides) under Vreelandella stevensii. RNAcentral's name for it is "partial 16S ribosomal RNA". It matches the Rfam family "Bacterial small subunit ribosomal RNA", at positions 338 to 795 of the family's 1533-position model. The record is from RNAcentral. Lineage: Bacteria; Pseudomonadati; Pseudomonadota; Gammaproteobacteria; Oceanospirillales; Halomonadaceae.